RNAcentral lists this long non-coding RNA (13424 nucleotides) under Lynx pardinus (Iberian lynx). Lineage: Eukaryota; Metazoa; Chordata; Mammalia; Carnivora; Felidae. The record is from RNAcentral.
GGAGCAGGGCCCCUGUCCCCUUCUCUGCCUGGGAGGUGCAUGUGCAGAUGAGGGUGACCGGGCCAGGGCGGCGGGGAGCCCAGGGCAUGGUGAGUGGCCCCAAACUACACUCGGCAGAGGGGGUGAGUCAGGGAGGUGGGUGGUGAGCCCGAGGUUCAGUGUCCUGCAGGCCCCCCCUCCCCGGGCUGAGCAGCUGGGGACCCACAGGCCGUGUGGUACACCAGGGGCAGGGGCCAAGUAGGCUCUGUCCUGGAGGGGCUGGCCUCGUGGGACGGCAUCGGGAUCCUCUUCGACUCCUCCACCGAGGAUACCCAGGUGAGUAGUGAUCUCCUGUCGCCCUCCCCCCCUUCCCCCUCCCCCUCCACCCCGUGCCCAUGGCUCAGGUUGCUCGUCACCUCCCAUGCAGAACAGCCCCAUCAUCCGUGUACUGGCCAGUGAUGCGCACACUCGCUACGAGCCGCGUGGGUAAGGGCCUGUCCGGACACACCCCUACCCCAUUCCUGGGCCCCAAGGGCCUCAGCGGUGACCCACACUGUGUACACAAGCCCCUGCCCCAGCCUCUGACGGGGACUCAUCAGAACUGAUGGCUGCUGCCCUGGAACCGCCUCUCGCUUGUCCCAGCUGUGCCUCCUCUAGGACAGGGACCAGAGUCUGCGUGCUCUUCCCAGGAACUGCCCCACUGAGUCCUCAAUUCAUUCAACCUAACGCCCCAGGUUGGGGGGCGGGACAUGAAACGACACAGGGCGUAGCCUGCACUGAGUGUUGCCACUCACACCGUCUCAUCUGAUCAGCAACACUCUUGAGAAGGGGAGAUCAUUAGUCCCCAACUACAGGUGAGGGCAUUGAGGCCCAGAGAGGUGGAGUGAAUGGCCCAAGGUCACACAGCCGUUGGCAGAGCUGAGCUUUGAGGUCAGAUGGUCCCCGCCCUUCCCCUGAGCCAGCCGCCCGCCUGCCAGAGCCUUCCCUUUCUCCCCGAUGACGAUGACGAGGCUUUCCAUCCCACCCAGGCCCGUCGUCAGUGUCUCCCAGCACGCAUCCCUUAGCUCAUAACAAUUAGAAUAAUUGCUAGCAUUUAUGGAGUAGAGCUUACCUGUCUGCGGGGCACAGCGCCAAGCACUUUACAUUCAUUGUCUUAGCUAACCCUCAUAACAAUGUUAUGAGCUAGUUCCAAUUAUUAUCCUCAUUUUAAAGAUGGGAGAGCUCGGGUUUGGAAAGAUGUGGUCAUUUGCCCAAGGUCACACAGUUAGAGUGCAAAUCGCAGAGCUGGCUUCUCCCUGCUCUGUGCGGCCUCCCUCUUAGCCGCAGGUGGAAGCGCUGUCUGUGUGCCCAGAGAAACCUGGGACCUCUCGGGCCCACAGAACGCGGCUCCCGUCCUCUGUCCUGAGUCUGUCUGCUUCAGUCUGAGCCUGGCAGAAAAAAGAGGAAAGAGGAGCCCUCCCCAGAGGCACAGGGGAACGAGGAGUCUGGGUGGGGGUGGGGGGGACAGUGGGGGAGGUGGUGGGCCUGGGGGGUUGAGGGCAGAGAUCCAGUGUUGCUCCAGGCUCUGUCCCCCUAGGGAAGAGUCACAGGAAGGCCCUGGCGUCUUUCUGCCAGGCAAGGCUUGCUUUCCAGCUCCCCUCUCUCCUGCUAAAGAAGCAAGGGAGACUCAUGCUAGACAACAGGGACACGUUCCAUCCCGGGUGACCCGUGAGGCGGGGGGGGGCGUGCUGUAGGCCUGGGCAGAAAGGCCCCUGGGACGACCCCCACUGUCCAGGCCUUGCGUCCUGUGUGGCCUGGCUGAACUCCAAGUGCCCACAGGGAUGCAGCCAGCGGGGUGCUGGGCUCCUGCCGCCGGGACUUCCGUAACCUGCCGAACCCCCUCAGAGUUCGGAUCACCUACUGGGGGCAGAGGCUGAGGGUGAGUAGCCCUUCCUGCUUUCUCAGAUUCCCUGGGCAGGGAGUGCAAACUAUAGGACUCAGAGCUACAGAGUUGCUAUGUGAGUGCCCAUGGUCCCAACACACCCGUGCCUGUGACACCACACAGGGGCCCGACACAUACAGGUGGCACCCACACGGGACCCUCCUCCCUGCACAGACUCCUAAUCCCAGAGCACAUACUGACGAGGGCUAGCGUGAGACCAGGCAAGCGUGCCCCUCCAUGCCAUGCUGACACCAAGCUGGGUGGCCGCUUGCCCACCUUUAGAACCCAGGGAAGCCAGUGAAUCAAAGGUGGGGAUGACAACCCGCUGCCGGGGUCAGGGGAGAGGUGGGGGGUUCCAGCCGCGAGGGGCUCACUCCUCUGUGCCCCUCAGGUGUCCUUGAACAGUGGCCUCGCUCCCAACGACUUAGAUGAGGUCUGUGUUGACGUGGGUCCACUGCUUUUGGCUCCUGGAGGUUUCUUUGGGGUCUCGGCAGCCACUGGCACCCUGGCAGGUGAGGGCCUUCCUUCUGAGCGGGUGAGAGCAGAGGAAUGGUACCUAAUGAAACACCCUGAGCACACCUUCUAAAGAGCUCUGGGUGUGGGGCCAGCCACUUCCUCUCUGUGUGGUCUGGGCAAGUCAUGAGCCCUCUCUGGGCCUCUGUUACCGUCGGGGCAAGGUCAUGUCUGCCUUGCAGAGUUGCUGAAAGUCUCAAAUAGGAUAAAGCACAAGAAGCUUUUAUUCCAGUGAUGGCCCCAUAAGUGCCCCAAGCUGGGAACUGUGGGGCAAGUAGAAGAGGGACAGCCAUGAGGACAUUGAGGAAACUGCAAAGGGGUGUAACAUAAUGAAGAGUCCACGGAGGGACCCACCGCUGGCAAGCAGGGUGCAGUCUGAGGGUGGGAGUUCUUGAAGGCUCGGACUUUAGUCUUUAGACUCUGAGCACUAGGGAGCAGUGGAAGGUUUCCAAGGAGGAAAGUGACACGGUCUCAGAGCCAUGCUGAGGAGGUGGCCGUCAUAUGGUUGCUUCUGCCACUCUGGGGCCUGAGGGUGUCACUCAUUCUGUUGCCAUGGCUGUAGCCCAGGACUGUCCAGUUUUCCCAGUCAGUGUGGGCCCACCCUUGGCUCUGCGUGUGGGUCAACCCUCACAGUCCACCCAUCUGCUUGUCUGCCCCUCACACCUUUCCCAUGAAGUGAGCAAGACGAAGGUUAGAGAGGCCCAGAGUCACCCAGAUCUCCUGCCUGCCUGGAAUAUAAUAGAGCCGGGCGGGGGGGGGCAGGGGGGUGAGGGCUGAGUGAGUGGGCUGCUGGGCAAGGGCGGGGGUCUUACCUUCCCUUCUCUGCCCCCUCUUCCAGAUGACCAUGACAUCCUGUCCUUCCUGACCUUCAGUCUGAGUGAGCCGGAUCCAAAGGUGAUACCACCCCUGGGUCAGCCUUCAGGGAUUGCUGGGAGAGACAGUCCAGGGACCCCUUCCUGCCCCAGAUGCUUCUAUGUCAUGGUGUAUUCAGCCCUGUCAUUCAAGCCGCUAUCUCUACUGAUCUCUCUCUCUCUCUCUCUCUCUCUCUGAGUUGCUCAGACCAGGCCUUGUGCUAGGCAGUGUGGGGGGCCAGAGGUGACCUAGAGCUAGGCCCCGUUCCUGAAGCACCUCCCAGGCCGUCAGGGGGCUGUGGGAGCACAAAGGACGGGUCCUGACCAGCCAGGGGAGCAGGGAAAGCCACCUGGAAGGCAUGAGCUUGAAAGGGCAGAGAGAGUAGCUGAGUGGAGGAGCAGCAACAAAGGUCUGAGUCCUGGGCGAGCCGCUGGGGCCUGGGCGGCAGCUGGAGACAUAAGCGUGGGGGACCGGCAGCAGCAGAGCCUGAAACCACAGGGCUUGGUGGCCGGGGUGCUUCUUCCCUGGGUGGGAUGCGUGUUUGGUCCGGGAGCGGGACUGGACUUGUGGAGGCCCCGUGGGAAGGCUCCCCUCACCCGCAGCUCUCCCACGGGUCUCAGGCCUGAGUUUGGUCUUCUUUCUCCAGCCUCCCCCACCGCCCUUUCUGGAGAUGGAGCAGCUCCGGCUGGUGAAGCAGCUGGCAGGGCUUCGGGCAAGGCUGGCCCUGGGCACCAGGGAGGAUGUGAUCCCAAAGCUGAGCUCCGAAGUCCAGGAAGAGGGUAGGGACCCAGGGAGCAGGCAGGAGAAGUAGGGGUCCAUUUGAGCAUCACAGGAUCCUCUUCCCUUGGAAUCAGGGGUGCUUUAACCAAUCGGGAGACGAAGGUUCGAGGGGGCCAUAUCUAGCAGACCCCGGGGCCCAGGCUCUGUCCGAUCCCCACCCCACCACCCAGACACAACUUUCUGGGGGCGAGCUGGAGGCAGAAGCCAUGUCUUUCUGCCCCUCGUCUCCAAUAAGCCCCAAAAGAUAGGAUCUGCUACCCCACUGCAGUGGGCUACCGGGCCCAGCUCUGCCCCAAUCUCCAGGGAAAAGGAUCCUUGGCCUGGAAGAGACGCUGGGCAGACACCGCCAGAUCCUGCAGGCUCUCCAUGGUCUCUCCAGACAGUUGGCCCAGGCCGAGAGGCAGUGGAAGAAGCACCUGGGGACCCCAGGCCAUGCCAGGCCUGAGGGAGCCUGGGUGAGUGGCCCCUUGGGCACCCAAGGCCCUGCCUGCAGGCCUGGAAAAGCAAGCUCCCUAGCCACUGGGUUCCUGGCACCGGUGAGCUCCCUCUGUCCAGAAAGAGGAGCAAGCACUAUACUUAGGAUCUAGUCUCCCCCAAGGUCUGGAGGGAAAGGAGGGCAGGGGUGCAGUGCUGCAGGUUGCAGGAGGGGGUAGACCUGCCAGGCGGGGGAGCACACAGGAGGGUAGCCCUGCACGAGCAAAUGCCCACGGAUCCACGCGGCCGGGGCUGGGGAGAGGAGAUGCCAGGUAUUUGGACACGGGUCUGUAGACAAGCGCCAGAAAUAGACUGGGUGCUAAUUUGCAUGUAGCUCCACAUGUGAUUUGGUUCCCAUACGGCUUGCUUAAUGCUCAGACGCACCAGAAUCCUCGUUUUUAUCUCCACUGCCAUCCUGGCUUCUCUUCCAAACAGUCAUGCCCCGUGGCACGCCCAGCCUGGGGCCCGAGAGCUGAACUCAGUCAAGCUGUUAGAUGCCAGGCAGAAGAGGCCGGCGGCUCCUGUGGGCUUUGCUGGGCUCUGGCAGCUCAGGGUUUACAUCUCGUGUCCUCAGGCCAGAGCAGCUGAGGCUGGGCUGCUGGAGUGGGGGAGUGGGGACGGGGCCACACUCCACGGCUAGGCCUCUAUGAUCCUACUUCCAGGCCCAGAACUCUUGCUGCCAGAUUCUCUCCACCCCAGAGAGGGGCAGCCACUUCUCCAGGCCACUCACCGAGACAGAGGCCUAAGCAUUGAGAGUUGCUCGGCACUGGCCCCAUCCUGGACUGUGCCCUGCGGUUGGGGUCGGGGAGAGGGGGGCGGUAGGUAGAAGACUGGACUGGGCCUCUGCCUCCUUUAAGGGCAGAACCACUUCUGAAAGGGGGAGGAAGCCCAUGACCCUCAGGGGGAGGGAUUUGAGAAGAGGGGGAAUCCAGAAGCCCAGAUGCACAGGGGAUAAACUCAACGUGUCAGAUAAUGUCCAAACUGAGGAAGAGCCAGGUGAGGUGGUAAGGCGUUCCAGAAGGAAGAGGGCUACAGUGUCCUCGGGAAGGUAGACUCUGAGAAGAGAAGGGCUGUGGCCUGGGCCCUGGAGAACAAGCUGGCCCUGCUACAGGAUUCUGCCAAGGUCAGCGCCCUGCUCCGUGGACAGAGGACUCUGCUCCAGGACCUGCAAGAGAUGAGGUAAGGGCACCUGCGAGGAGGGGUUCUGGGGGAGGGGCAGAGAAGUCCGGCUCCACCCACUUGCUCAGCCUCAAGUUCCUCCAUUGGCCCCCUAUUCCUUUCCUCACUUCCUGAGCGUCCAGCACAAAGCCUGGCACACAGGGAGGGGCGGGGGCAGAGUUAAGUCUGUCCAGUUGACCUGAAUUUAAUUGAAUCAAGUUUAAAGUUUUGAAAAUCCUAAUUUAAAAGUAACUCUCCCUGGGGAGGGACACAAACCCCCUCCCCAGGGAGAGUUAGUAAAUCUGAGCCUUCCUUCAGGGACGGCUCCUGGAAUGAGGGGAUGUUUUGAUGGCGUUCUUGGAGGAACCAUAACCAAGAUCAGGCCGAGCUGAAGAGGGCAGUCCCUGACUUCUUUUUGCCCCCCUCCAGCCUCCCAGCACCCCACCCUAGGCCAAGCCCAGGGAGCUACCCAUGGGGCUCUGGGGACAGGGAAGUCACCCUGAUGCUACAGAGCAGGGAAGCUUCAGGCUGGGUGCUGGAUUCUGGGUCCCUCACCCACAUCUAGAUGUUUGGGGAUGGGAAGAUGGGAAGAGGGAGAGGAACCAAAUCCCCUGGGGCCUGGGGAUGGAAAACAAAGCCCAGGGAGCCUGGAGUUGAAACAGACAACGUUAGGAAGACCCUUCUCUGAGCUAAAGCUGUCUGAGGAUAUAGGAAGAAGGUUUGGGGUAAGACCAGCCCCUAAGAAGGAGCCCUAUGGAUGGUGCCUGUUUCCCACCAGGUGCUGCCGUUAGGGAUUGUGAGAAAUGGUUAGGAGGCCUGGGUACAACCAGAAGAGAUAAUGAGUCAUCUCCCUUGGUUUCCACCCCCCACCAGGGAUGCAGCUGCCCACGUGGUCUCAAAAGCCCAGCUCUUCUAUCUGCCUGUGGGCACCAAGCAUCAUCUCUCAGAGCUGGCCCAGAUCCUGGGCCUCCUGCAGAAGGACCUUCGGGGCCCACUGGUAAGGGGGAAGGAAGGGGUGCCAUGGGGGCCCCAUCCUUGAGGUUCUGGCUCAGCCCCCUUCUUCCAGCACUUCUGCGUCCCCAGGCCCCUUCUGCCCUUGCACUCCCCUCCCGGGACUGCUGACAGGCACACCUGUAUCUGUGCCUGUGUCUGUGAUACAGAUCUCACCUUCUCUCUGCCCUCUCUGCACUCUGGAGAGUCCCACAGACUCUCAAUGGCAGCAGGGCCCUGGGGACCACUUGGUCCAACCCCUUCAGUGACCAGAAGGGAAAUGGCAGUACUAGAGAUCGAUGGUGGAACCUUCUCUUCCCUGUGUCCCUGGCCCAUCUUGCUCCUACCUUGGCCCUCACCAUCACCUUGUCUUUCACUCUAUUUCUUUCUCAUCUCUAGAGCCUUCAGACCCCUGGUGAUCCCUGGCCCCAGUCCUUCCCAGCCGUCCCCACAGAUGGAGCCAGGGGAGCUAGGGUUGGGGAAGUAGCUCCCUGGAUGAGAACCAGGGUGCCCCAAGCCUGGGGGAGGGAAAUAGAGCCCACACAUGGCCCAGAUUCCAGGUCCCCUUUUUCCUUCUGGGUAAGAAGCCGAUCCAGGACCUUAGAAUGUCCCCUUUCAGAAAGCGGCAGCCAAGAACCGCCGCCCACCUGGCCAACCCCCAGGAGCCUCCUCGUGCCUGCGGCCCAGCAUCUUCUUGUUCUUCCUCCUCAUUCAGACUAUAGGCUUCUUCUGUUACGUGCACUUCAGGUGCGUCUUCCCAUGACUGAGACAUGCUAUACUACUUGACAUCUCUUGAUUCUGGGUCAUAGCCAUUCGAUUGGGACAUGGGGCACUGAGGCCCAGGGGUAACAUGCCUGGUCUACCAGGGCCAAGGAGCAGCACCCAGGCUAGGACCCAUUUUUCCAACAAGCUCUACUGGCCGCCUGCUCAACCGCUUGUCCCAUCUAAGUCCUGCCCUCACAAAACUCACUUGCUAAUGUGAGAAACCGAUGAGUAACUGAUAGUCACACCCUAUCUGGUCAGUGCCAUAAUGGCAGGGAGCUCAGGGGCUGUAACAGUAUGGGAAAAAAGCACUUGACCCAGCUUAGGGAGAUCAAGGAAUUGACUAGAAGGGACAUUGGAUGUGGGUCAAGAUAACUAGGAGUUUUCUAGCCUGACAAGAUAAGUAAAGGCAUCAAUACAGAGGAACAGGAUAAGAAAAGGCAUGGAAGCAUGAAAAAAAGCACAAUAUUCUGGAGAAAAAGUGUCAAGUUCAGUGUCAAAGCAAAAGGUAGGACCAGUUUGUGAAACUGGGCAAAGAGAAUUUAAAAGAGAAUUUAGAAGAGAAUAAAAAGGAGGUCACUAAUUCUGCUUGACGGGUGUUUGUUGAAUGAAUGAAACAUUUAGAGAUGGUGAGUGUGCUAAGGUGCUCAGAAAUUGGACUGACAGUCCUUAUUGGUGGAAUGUCAAGACAAGAAGAAUCAGUGUGGUCUGGGAUGCUCCUGGAGGAGUGAAGCGUGCUGAGCUUUAAAAGCAGAGUAGAAGGAGGCACAGCCUCCAGGUAAAAAUAGCAAAGGUACCGAGUGGAAAUGAUGACAAGCUUAUGCAUUAUGUACGAGUUCGAUGGUGGCCAUAAGGCUGGAGCCACCUAGACAGGCCUUGAAUGCCAAGGAAAGAGUCUGGUCCUGAUGGGGCAGGCCAAGGGAGCCAUAGAAGGUCUUAGAACAAGGGAGGCUGUAAUGGAGAGAUGGUAGAGAGGUGAAUGUAGAAGCCUGGUCUCAAGAGCCCUGAAGGAAGAGAUCCAAGUAACCUUCUUCUCCUUUCCCUGGCAGUAGGCAGGAGCUGGACAAGAGCCUUCAGGACUGUUUGUCCACAGGCAGCCCUCCUCUGUGUCCUGCACCACGCAUUCCUGGGGCCCUGGGGAUUCUGAGGAGGCAGCCUCUCUCCUCCAGCAUACACGCAUGACUCACCUCAAAGCCCUGAAGGAAUCUCCCCAGGAAGUGGAUGGUGUCCAGGGGGUGAGGGUUUGGCCCGUACUUCUCCUUCUGGGUGCCCAGCUCCUGCCCACACCUUAGCUUUUGGGUAGCUCCAAUCUUAUUAAAGGUGAUUUCCAUCUCCCCACGUUUUGUUUGAUAUGCUCCUUUACCUUCUGGCUUUACCUUAAUUUCUCUGAAGGCUUUCACCUUCUCUGGAUAGGUAGCUGGGAGUGGGCUCCAAGUGGGCAAGGACAUCAAGGACUGGUCUGAUUGCCAAAAGACCAGAUACCCCACAAGCCUCGAGCCCUGGACUGUGGAUCAAGAGGGAGUCACAACUGUGGUAAUUCUGUCCCCAGAACAAAGAGUGGAAUCUCCAGGUGCCCCUCUUGGCCCAGCCCAGCCAGCAUCACCAUGAACAACUCUCUCCCUCCCCGCUUCCUGUAGCUCUAGGGGUCAGCAGAGCUGGCAUAGGAGGGAGAACUCUGAGGCAACCCAUGGAGACAUAACCGGGAUUCCCGCUUUCUGGUCUCCCUUUCCCAGCGCCCAGCUCUUUGGGCAGCUGCUGGGGCAGCGGGGUGGGGAGGAUGGUGUAGGGCCCAGGGCUGGAUCUUUGCCCCUUGCUGCCACUUGGAUCUGCCAGCUGAAAUCCUGGCUAUCAGCGACCUGGGAGAGGAGGAGGUGGGGGGAGAGUAGGAAACAGGGUUCUGGACGUGCAUCAGUGCAGCCCCUUUCCCUGGGGAGCGACCCCACCCCGCGCAGGCCCUAAUCCGUUGUUAGCAAUGCCCAGGCGGAGCUUGGCGUUGAAGGAGGCACGUGGGGGAGGCGGGAGUGCGGAGCGGGCACGUGGUCCAGCCUCCUCAGCCCCGUGCAUGCCCCCCGCCCCCCGUGAGGAGGGGUUUGGGGAGGUGGGGGCGGGCCUGGGCGGGGGCGGGCGGCGGGAGGCUCAGAGCGUGGGGCGCGGGCCGGCGGCAGGAGCUGUCCGCGAGACCUAGUGCUGAAGUAGGUGCGGACGUGCCUGGCGCCCGGCCCCCGGUGCCAGGGCCAGCGAAGACCAUGGCGUUCAUGGUGAAGACUAUGGUGGGCGGCCAGCUGAAGAACCUCACCGGGAGCCUGGGGGGCGGCGAGGACAAGGGGGACGGGGACAAAUCGGCGGCCGAAGCGCAAGGCAUGAGCCGAGAAGAGUAUGAGGAGUAUCAGAAGCAACUGGUGGAAGAGAAGUGAGUGGGAUCCCUUCCUGGCUCCAACGACCUUCCCCCCGCCCCCACCCCCUCCAGCUACCUGGCCCACCUCUAGGGCGGUUUCAGACCCCGAGCCCUCUCACCCUACUUUUCUAGAUGCGGUAGGAGGCUGGGUUGUGCUUUCUAGGCUGCCCCCAGAGCCGCCCCAUCUCAGACCCAGGACCCGGCCCCAGCUUCGCACUCAGGGCUCAGAGGGAGUGGGGGCAGGGGCAAUAGGGACCUGGGAUGGGGUGGGGGCACGUGCAUUUCUGACGAAACAAGUAAUCCCUUAAUCCGAUCUGGUCCUAACCGUCUGCAUCUUCCAACUGGAGCUCCUCUAAGCCUGAGGCUCCGAGAAAAGUAAUGAAUCUGAGGGGGCUCAAAAUCACGGAGACAGAUCUUGAGAUGGGGCACUCAUAGAUACUGAGCCUCAGUGUCUUCUUGUGUGCAGGCAGUGCUGGGACAGAGAGGCAGCUGGGGUGGGAUAAGGAGCUGGACCCCAGAGUUAGGUUGCUUAGGUUUAGAUCCAGGUUUCGUGUCUGUUUAGCUAGAUGACUUUAAGCCAGUUACUUAAACCUUUCUGUGCCUCAGUUUCCUCUUCUGUAAAAUGGUGAUGGUAAUCAUAAAGCAUGCCUUAUAUAUGUAUAAGAAUUAAAUUAUUUAACGCAUGUUAACUUCAUAGCACAGUGCCUGGAACAUAGUAAAUCAUUAAAUAUUAGCUAUUAUUUUGCUUACUCCUGAUAACAGUUUUUUUGUAAGUUGCAAAAGAGGAAAAUAAGUGACUUAUCCAAAGACAUACCGAAAGUGGUAGUGCAGCCAGGACGCAAACCCAAGUCUGCCCCGAAUACUUUCCCCCACAAGACACAAUCUAUCAGGAAGGGAAAAGACAGACGGAGUUGGAGGCCGCGAGAGACACCCAUUAGGGUCUGCAGAGUGAGCCAGACCAGCUGACUCUCCAGCCCCAUAGUCCAGUGGCCGGUGCAGAGGCAACAAAGGACAGUUAUGAUGGGAGAGAGGCAGCAAAGACUGACGGAGGCCCGCCAGGUCAGACACACAGGCUAACAGGCUGGAGCAAAGCGGUCGGCGCCGGGACACGGAGACCCCGCCGGCCCUUUCCUCGCAGACCCCGCCCAUUCUCUCAGCCCUUGAGAUGACUCCGCCCCGGUGCCCCCGCAGGAUGGAGCGGGAUGCGCAGUUCACGCAGAGGAAGGCAGAGCGGGCCACGCUGCGGAGCCACUUCCGAGAUAAAUACCGACUGCCCAAGGUAAGCUUACGAGCCUGGGCUGGCAGGUACAUCUGGGAUUCUGAGCUUGGGGCUCCCCACUCUUUCUCCCAGCACAGCUGGGCACCACAACUUUCAGCUCCUAAAACUCAUGGAGACGAGUUCUUGGUUGGAUCCUUCCUUCUCGGACUCAAAGCCCGGUCUUCCCAAGGCUGAUAGGUUUGUGUUUCUGGAGCCAGUUCAGGCCCCUUCUCUCCCCCACCUACCACUCUCCCAACCCCCAGUCAAGCCCAGGCAGAUGAAGAAGUGGAAGGCAGUAGAUUUUACCCCAGGGUUGAGUACACUCUGAGCUCCCGAACACCCAUGGAGGGUGGGGUGGGGUAGAGAAUGCACACCCUCUGUGUGCCAGGCCCUUGACCUUCAUGCCCUUAUGUAACCCCUCAAUAACACUUCCAGGUAGCUAUCACCCACACUACAAAUAAGGAAACUGAGAUUCAGAGAGGUUGAGGGACUUGUCAAGGCCAUACAACCAGCUAGUAAUGGAGCUGGGGUCAGAGCUCAAGCCUGUGAAUACUGAACCUCAGCUUGCUCCAGGACUCCUGGCUGGCUUCCAGGGUGUGGUGUCUGUCUGCAGAGAGCAAAAUGCCCCUUGGUUGGCCAAGCAGCCAGGAAGACGUCUCCCAUAGGCACUACAGCAGUACAUGGGCAUGUAAGUGUUGCCUAAGGAGAGAACUGAGGCACAAGCUACUCCCAGUGCCUAGAAUCUUCCACUUGAAUUGAAAGAUCAGACAUGUGAACAUUACAUUCACUCAUUCAACAAAUGUUUACUGAUCCCCUGGCUGCCUCUGACGUUCCGCAGGGCACCAGCCUUCUGGAAGUCUCUCAGAGGGAAAACCACUCCAGAAAGCCUAGAAAGCUACUGAGUUAAACCCAGCUAAGAAUGGAGUCAUUAAAAAAAAAAAAAAACAACCAGGAAUGGAGUCAUUCCUCAAAUGCUUGCACGAGCCACAUUAAGAGUAACAACUCCUGCCACCAGGAAACUCUGAGUCUAGUAGAAGAGGGAAGACUUGGCGGUAACUGAGUAGGACAUAAAGUGGAAAGCCCCAGGGUUCCCAAAGGGAAAGAGAAAUGCAAUGGCAGUCAGUAGGUGUUGUGCAAAGAGAGCACAGAUGUUGGAAUCCAUGAUGUAGGUUUAAAACGAGCGUCUGUGCUUCCUAGUUGUGUGACCUUGCCCAAGUUGCUUACUUGAGUAAUUUACUUAAACUGCACCUCAAUUUCCUUACUUGUAAAAUACAGAUAAAAAUACCCACCUCACAGGGUUAUUUUGAAUGUCAGCCAUACAGUAGGCAUUUGAUAAAUGGUACCCAUCACUGUUAUCAGUAACGUCCUCCAGUGUAGUUAAUGAUAGUCAGCAUGUGACUUGGCUGAUUAGCACAGUUUGACUCCUAAGUAUGUUCAUUUUGCUUUAUUCACUAUGCUGGUGUCUUCAAUAUCUCAGAGUGAAGUAAGGUGGUAUAAAAGUGCAAGGUCUCCAUGUCCAAGUGUCAAAAGCUUGAUCCUGGGAUGGGGGUGGGGGAGUGGGUGGCUGAACUCACCAGAGUAAGUUCUCAUGCGGCUCGAGAAUCUAGGGGCUGGGAGCCCAGUCCAGGCCUCCUCCCUGUCCCUUCAACUCUGGGUCUUCAUGGACCUCCAACCACACUCCACCCUCCCCUCUUCCCUUCAGAACGAGACAGAUGAGAGCCAGAUUCAGAUGGCAGGUGGAGACGUGGAGCUGCCCCGGGAGCUGGCCAAGAUGAUUGAGGAGGACACAGAGGAGGAGGAGGAGAAGGCCUCCGUCCUCGGGCAGUUGGCCAGUCUCCCUGGCCUAGACCUCGGCUCACUCAAGGACAAGGCCCAGGCCACAUUGGGGGACCUCAAGCAAUCAGCUGAGAAGUGCUACAUCAUGUGACUACUUCCUCUGGGGCUGCCCGCUGGGGUGACCAGAGGGCUGGGCCCACAUGAGGGCUAAGAGCAUGUCCCAGUGUUCAGGGACCCAUACCCCAUCUUAGUUUUGUUCCCCCUGUCCCAUGCUAGCUCAGGACCCUUCCCAUCUGUGGCCCAAGUCUGCCUUCUGGUCUUUCUCUUUCCACUAGGAACAAAGUCCCCAUUCCUCACCCUUCUCCUCAGGACCCACCCUCUCUACUCAGCCUGGAGAGGCCUCCUAAGAUUGUAGGAAUAGGCCCAUCCCUCUCUGGCCAUUGCCCUAAGUUCCUGCACACAGGAUCAUGCAUAGAGAGACCCACAGAGGGACAUAGAAGCUGUGGUAUGUGCAGAGGCGUAUGCCACAGCUGCAUCCUGGCACACCCUGGCACACCCUGGCACAG